AUCAAGGGCCACACCACCCUGAAUCCACCGGAGACUGUCUGAUCUUGGAAGCUAAGCAGAGUCUGGCCUCGUUAGUACUUGAAUGGGAGAAGAGGAAUAACUAACGCUUCUCACA
This 115-nucleotide ribosomal RNA is filed under the name Peromyscus maniculatus bairdii (prairie deer mouse). Lineage: Eukaryota; Metazoa; Chordata; Mammalia; Rodentia; Cricetidae. The record is from RNAcentral.